RNAcentral lists this ribosomal RNA (465 nucleotides) under uncultured bacterium. RNAcentral describes it as "partial 16S ribosomal RNA". It matches the Rfam family "Bacterial small subunit ribosomal RNA", at positions 28 to 507 of the family's 1533-position model. The record is from RNAcentral.
GACGAACGCUGGCGGCGUGCUUAACACAUGCAAGUCGAACGGAAAGGCCCCUUUGGGGGUACUCGAGUGGCGAACGGGUGAGUAACACGUGAGUAACCUGCCCUUGACUUCGGGAUAACUUCAGGAAACUGGGGCUAAUACCGGAUAGGAAUCCUUGCUGCAUGGAGGGGGUUGGAAAGCUUCGGCGGUUUUGGAUGGACUCGCGGCUUAUCAGUUUGUUGGUGGGGUAGUGGCUUACCAAGGCUUUGACGGGUAGCCGGCCUGAGAGGGCGACCGGCCACAUUGGGACCGAGAAACGGCCCAGACUCCUACGGGAGGCAGCAGGGGGGAAUAUUGCACAAUGGGCGGGAGCCUGAUGCAACAACGCCGCGGGCGGGAUGACGGCCUUCGGGUUGUAAACCGCUUUCAGCAGGGGCGAAGCUUGUGGUGACGGUACCUGCAGAAGAAGCACCGGCUAACUACGUG